This is a long non-coding RNA of Conger conger (European conger), 484 nucleotides long. RefSeq lists it as uncharacterized. NCBI's taxonomy places the organism in Eukaryota, Metazoa, Chordata, Actinopteri, Anguilliformes, Congridae. The record is from RefSeq and is a predicted model, not a curated record. The transcript is spliced from 3 exons.
UCUGAACAAAGACUGUACUUUUAGAAUAAAACAACUGAGAGAAACAGAUGCAAAAACAUAUUACUUCAGGUUCCUGACUGAUUUUGAUGGAAAAUAUAGUGGCAAAACUGGUGUCUCAUUGACAGUCACAGCUCUACAGGUGAGGGUGAAUCCUGGCUCAGUGACAGAGGGACAGAGUGUAACACUGACCUGUAACACCACCUGCACUCUGACUGGCAGCCCAGUCUUCACCUGGUACAGAAACGGAUCUCCUCUGUCCUUCACCACCCAGAGACACCAGCUCACAGCCAGCAGUGAAGAUGGAGGCACAUACUCCUGUGCUGUAAACGGAUCUGAGCUUCUCCCCUCCCCUGCAGUGGCUCUUACUGUGAACUAUCCUCCUAAGAGCACCUCAGUAUCAGUGAGCCCCUCUGGUGAAAUAGAGGAGGGCAGUUCAGUGACUCUGACCUGCAGCAGCGAUGCCAACCCACCAGUGCAGAGAUAC